RNAcentral lists this ribosomal RNA (1502 nucleotides) under Lactiplantibacillus plantarum. RNAcentral describes it as "bacterial SSU rRNA". It matches the Rfam family "Bacterial small subunit ribosomal RNA". The record is from RNAcentral. Lineage: Bacteria; Bacillati; Bacillota; Bacilli; Lactobacillales; Lactobacillaceae.
CUCAGGACGAACGCUGGCGGCGUGCCUAAUACAUGCAAGUCGAACGAACUCUGGUAUUGAUUGGUGCUUGCAUCAUGAUUUACAUUUGAGUGAGUGGCGAACUGGUGAGUAACACGUGGGAAACCUGCCCAGAAGCGGGGGAUAACACCUGGAAACAGAUGCUAAUACCGCAUAACAACUUGGACCGCAUGGUCCGAGUUUGAAAGAUGGCUUCGGCUAUCACUUUUGGAUGGUCCCGCGGCGUAUUAGCUAGAUGGUGGGGUAACGGCUCACCAUGGCAAUGAUACGUAGCCGACCUGAGAGGGUAAUCGGCCACAUUGGGACUGAGACACGGCCCAAACUCCUACGGGAGGCAGCAGUAGGGAAUCUUCCACAAUGGACGAAAGUCUGAUGGAGCAACGCCGCGUGAGUGAAGAAGGGUUUCGGCUCGUAAAACUCUGUUGUUAAAGAAGAACAUAUCUGAGAGUAACUGUUCAGGUAUUGACGGUAUUUAACCAGAAAGCCACGGCUAACUACGUGCCAGCAGCCGCGGUAAUACGUAGGUGGCAAGCGUUGUCCGGAUUUAUUGGGCGUAAAGCGAGCGCAGGCGGUUUUUUAAGUCUGAUGUGAAAGCCUUCGGCUCAACCGAAGAAGUGCAUCGGAAACUGGGAAACUUGAGUGCAGAAGAGGACAGUGGAACUCCAUGUGUAGCGGUGAAAUGCGUAGAUAUAUGGAAGAACACCAGUGGCGAAGGCGGCUGUCUGGUCUGUAACUGACGCUGAGGCUCGAAAGUAUGGGUAGCAAACAGGAUUAGAUACCCUGGUAGUCCAUACCGUAAACGAUGAAUGCUAAGUGUUGGAGGGUUUCCGCCCUUCAGUGCUGCAGCUAACGCAUUAAGCAUUCCGCCUGGGGAGUACGGCCGCAAGGCUGAAACUCAAAGGAAUUGACGGGGGCCCGCACAAGCGGUGGAGCAUGUGGUUUAAUUCGAAGCUACGCGAAGAACCUUACCAGGUCUUGACAUACUAUGCAAAUCUAAGAGAUUAGACGUUCCCUUCGGGGACAUGGAUACAGGUGGUGCAUGGUUGUCGUCAGCUCGUGUCGUGAGAUGUUGGGUUAAGUCCCGCAACGAGCGCAACCCUUAUUAUCAGUUGCCAGCAUUAAGUUGGGCACUCUGGUGAGACUGCCGGUGACAAACCGGAGGAAGGUGGGGAUGACGUCAAAUCAUCAUGCCCCUUAUGACCUGGGCUACACACGUGCUACAAUGGAUGGUACAACGAGUUGCGAACUCGCGAGAGUAAGCUAAUCUCUUAAAGCCAUUCUCAGUUCGGAUUGUAGGCUGCAACUCGCCUACAUGAAGUCGGAAUCGCUAGUAAUCGCGGAUCAGCAUGCCGCGGUGAAUACGUUCCCGGGCCUUGUACACACCGCCCGUCACACCAUGAGAGUUUGUAACACCCAAAGUCGGUGGGGUAACCUUUUAGGAACCAGCCGCCUAAGGUGGGACAGAUGAUUAGGGUGAAGUCGUA